This is a long non-coding RNA of Choloepus didactylus (southern two-toed sloth), 981 nucleotides long. RefSeq lists it as uncharacterized. The record is from RefSeq and is a predicted model, not a curated record. The transcript is spliced from 5 exons. Lineage: Eukaryota; Metazoa; Chordata; Mammalia; Pilosa; Megalonychidae.
CAGUCACACACACACACACACACACACACGCACACACACACACACCGAGCACACACCCACCCACAAGGACUUGAAGGAAUGGGUUAAGGAAGAGAAAGCUAAAUUGUUUUUUAAGGCAACCCAUUCAGCUGCUGUGGUGCAGUCUUAGGAAAAAAAGAUAAGAGCCAGGGUUGGGUUCUGUGGGCAUGUGCUACAGAAGGAGAAAAAGGGAUUGCUGAAGGAAGGGGACAAACUGUUAGGAGAUCUACAGACCAAUUACCAUUACCACACUGCUUUGUACUUUGAGCUGCCCCGCCCGUAGCAACAUGAGCAGAGCUAGAGUACCUAGACUAGAUCUGCUUCAAGGUGGACACCUGACUCCAAAGGAACUGAAGCCUUUCGGUGAGGAGAUGCCAGUUGGUGAUGGGUCCUUUGGCUGAGAGGUCUUGGUGUGCGGUCAAGGCACGUGAAAGUUUAAUCUCAAGCAAGAGUCCUAAACAUGAGGUUUCCCGAAGCACUUGCAAAUCCUAAAGUCUCUCACAUGCCAGUAGCUGUGAAGCAAGACUUAGCCGCAAGGAGAAAAUGACUGGAACAUGAAAAUGGCAAGUAAAGGUGAUUUGCUGCAUAAACUCACAGUCGUUGUAAGAAUUCACCCAUGUUUCCAUACCUUUACAACUUGGCAGUGCAGACCAGUUUCCAAGUUUGCUACAUUCUACUUCUUCAAGGCCAUCCAGUACGUAUGUAUCAUGGCAACCAAAUGUGGCUUUAUCCUUGUAAUAAAGUGCUGGUUUUGCAGGAUAGUUCACGAAUCCAUUUUCUGGUCUUGAUGGGAAUGGGCACUUUACUUCUAAAAAGUUUAUUCAAUAAGACAUAUUAGUAAUACAUAAACAGUUAUUUCCAGCAGUUACGGAAUCGUCAUUACAUUCAAGUCUCCAUCACAACAUUGAAUCAUUAGGUAUUCAGGUUACUGUGAUAUAAUUUCUGGAUACAUUAGUGCUUAGU